This 252-nucleotide ribosomal RNA is filed under the name uncultured bacterium. RNAcentral's name for it is "partial 16S ribosomal RNA". It matches the Rfam family "Bacterial small subunit ribosomal RNA", at positions 524 to 776 of the family's 1533-position model. The record is from RNAcentral.
UACGUAGGUCCCGAGCGUUGUCCGGAUUUAUUGGGCGUAAAGCGAGCGCAGGUGGUUUAUUAAGUCUGGUGUAAAAGGCAGUGGCUCAACCAUUGUAUGCAUUGGAAACUGGUAGACUUGAGUGCAGGAGAGGAGAGUGGAAUUCCAUGUGUAGCGGUGAAAUGCGUAGAUAUAUGGAGGAACACCGGUGGCGAAAGCGGCUCUCUGGCCUGUAACUGACACUAAGGCUCGAAAGCGUGGGGAGCAAACAGG